GUGACCUCAAAUCAGGUAGGACUACCCGCUGAACUUAAGCAUAUCAAUAAGCGGAGGAAAAGAACUAACAAGGAUUCCCCUAGUAACUGCGAGUGAAGCGGAAAGCUCAAUU
RNAcentral lists this ribosomal RNA (112 nucleotides) under Dermocybe semisanguinea. RNAcentral's name for it is "partial 28S ribosomal RNA". It matches the Rfam family "Eukaryotic large subunit ribosomal RNA", at positions 1 to 114 of the family's 3401-position model. The record is from RNAcentral. Lineage: Eukaryota; Fungi; Basidiomycota; Agaricomycetes; Agaricales; Cortinariaceae.